UAGUCCUAUGCUGUAAACGGUGUGCACUUGGUGUGGGGGGAAUUGACCCCUCCCGUGCCGGAGCUAACGUGUUAAGUGCACCGCCUGGGGAGUACGGCCGCAAGGUUAAAACUCAAAGAAAUUGACGGGGGCCCGCACAAGCGGAGGAGCAUGUGGCUUAAUUCGAUGCAACGUCGAAGAACCUUACCAGGGCUUGACAUGUAACUGCACGCCUCCUGAAAGGGAGGAAGCUUUCGAAGGUGUUACACAGGUGCUGCAUGGCUGUCGUCAGUUCGUGCCGUGAGGUGUUGGGUUAAGUCCCGCAACGAACGCAACCCUUGUGUUUAGUUGCCAUCAGGUAAUGCUGGGCACUCUAGACAGACUGCCUGUAUCAAGCAGGAGGAAGGUGGGGAUGACGUCAAGUCAGUAUGGCCCUUACGCCCUGGGCUGCACACGUGCUACAAUGGUCGGUACAAAGGGAAGCGAAUAUCGCGAGGUGGAGCGUAAUCCUUGAAAGCCGGCCCCAGUUCGGAUUGG
This 516-nucleotide ribosomal RNA is filed under the name uncultured bacterium. RNAcentral describes it as "bacterial SSU rRNA". It matches the Rfam family "Bacterial small subunit ribosomal RNA", at positions 791 to 1301 of the family's 1533-position model. The record is from RNAcentral.